This 83-nucleotide transfer RNA is filed under the name Lachnospiraceae bacterium. RNAcentral describes it as "tRNA-Leu". It matches the Rfam family "tRNA". Rfam says of the family: Transfer RNA (tRNA) molecules are approximately 80 nucleotides in length. Their secondary structure includes four short double-helical elements and three loops (D, anti-codon, and T loops). The record is from RNAcentral. RNAcentral also lists the same sequence under 2 other names. Lineage: Bacteria; Bacillati; Bacillota; Clostridia; Lachnospirales; Lachnospiraceae.
GCGGAUAUGGCGGAAUUGGCAGACGCGCCAGAUUUAGGUUCUGGUGGGAGACCGUGCAGGUUCAAGUCCUGUUAUCCGCACCA